GUUAGCUGCUACCAGUUAUAUUUCUGUACGAUUCUUAAUGCAGUUAGCGGUAUUGGUCCCGACAGCUCUCUGCUAACGAGAAAACAAAAAAAUAGGUUUGAGAUGCGGGCAUAGUAAACUUUUUUUCAGAGCUAUGAAUUUUCAUGCGCGUUCAGUUUUUGCCUCUGCCAGAUGAAGUGCUUACUGCCAUCAGCAAUCACGCCACGACAGGCCAAUCAAACGUCGUUUUACUAACAUUACGCGCACUGACUUGGCCUACCCAAUUGGAUUCACUUUCUCAGCGAGUAAUUACGAUCAUCUCGUCUUUUUUCUUAGAUGGUACGAUAUCAAAGAGGACCUUGUGGUCCAUUUAUUAUUCUACGGGAAAGCGAAAAUGAACCUUGGAUAUAGAGAUGUGGUGUUACAAAUUCACGCGGAUACCCUACGGACCCCACUUGAAGAGGGCUGUUCAACUUGGAAGAUUCUGCGAGAGCCAGCAAUCACAUCAAGUAGUUGCGCAUCCAUCAAGCAAGCGACCACCUCUGCCACGAGCUGAAGAUGGGGAUGGUAAAAGAUCUGCGGUCACCAACCAUUUGUAAUAGGGGAAAGUGGCAAAUUCCCUGCCAGGGGACUACUGCCGAUGACGUAAUCUGGCUAGCGAUGGUCAUUGAUAACAGGAUGCUCCUCAUGCAGAUGAAAAACAAUACACCGUGACCACAAUGAAGUACACAAAUCAUAAAGGAUCGAGAAUGAAUCGAUGUACUUCAAACAGGCCACCGUUCCAGUUAGCGUCCUAAUCUACGAGUCACUUCCUAAUAAAAAGGAUACUUUGUUCCUUCUUCCUGCUGCCUCUUAUUUGCUCCGUUUCAAUUUCCUUUAACGCUCGCUUUUCUACAGAAAAGCGGCAUAAUUCGGACAUUUUUCGUCGGUUGCAGCGGACAGGCCGUGUGUGCAGCAUAAACCACGCAUUCAUACACUGUCCGCCUCGGCCUUUGUGGGACCUUUUAGUAUCUCAAGUAUCCAGUGUUGCAUCCUACUUUCUUUCGCAUGAGGCCAGUAGUGCCCUAAACUUUUUCAUUUACAAGAAGAAAAAUGUUAUGCGAUAAUAGCUUUCCGUCUUUUGGCUUAGAUAUAACUGUAGGCAUCCAUCCGUACAAAUGUGUAGGAAAGCAAUUACAUUCCUGUUUACGUCCGCUACCACGACAACGCUCCCAAAAUU
This 1198-nucleotide long non-coding RNA is filed under the name Varroa destructor (honeybee mite). RNAcentral describes it as "uncharacterized LOC111246814, transcript variant X3". Lineage: Eukaryota; Metazoa; Arthropoda; Arachnida; Mesostigmata; Varroidae. The record is from RNAcentral.